RNAcentral lists this ribosomal RNA (618 nucleotides) under uncultured marine eukaryote. RNAcentral's name for it is "SSU rRNA". It matches the Rfam family "Eukaryotic small subunit ribosomal RNA", at positions 613 to 1254 of the family's 1831-position model. The record is from RNAcentral.
UUGCAGUUAAAAAGCUCGUAGUUGAAUUUCUGUGUAGUGCAAUUGAGGUCUUCGGACUGAUUUGCAUGUGCACAUCCAUCUGAACAGCAUUCGUUGUCAUUGAUUUGUCGCUUAUGUGAUCAGAUACUUUACCUUGAGAAAAAUAGAGUGUUCCAAGCAGGCGCUCGCCUGAAUAAUAAAGCAUGGAAUAAUACAAUAGGACUGAGUUCUAUUGGUGCAUAGAACGCAGUAAUGAUUAAUAGGGACAGUUGGGGGCAUUUGUAUUUAAUUGUCAGAGGUGAAAUUCUUUGAUUUAUUAAAGACAAACCUAUGCGAAAGCAUUUGCCAAGGAUGUUUUCAUUAAUCAAGAACGAAAGUUAAGGGAUCGAAGACGAUCAGAUACCGUCGUAGUCUUAACCAUAAACUAUGCCGACUAGAGAUUGGAGGUGCAAUCUCAAUACUCCUUCAGCAUCUUAGGAGAAAUCAAAGUCUUUGGGUUCUGGGGGUAGUAUGGUCGCAAGACUGAAACUUAAAGGAAUUGACGGAAGGGCACCACAAGGUGUGGAGCCUGCGGCUUAAUUUGACUCAACACGGGAAAACUUACCAGGUCCAGACAUGGGAAGGAUUGACAGAUUGGAG